Molecule: unclassified non-coding RNA, 162 nt
Filed under: uncultured Sordariales
Lineage: Eukaryota; Fungi; Ascomycota; Sordariomycetes; Sordariales
Description: sequence contains ITS1
Source: RNAcentral
CAGAGUUGCGAAACUCCAAACCACUGUGAACCUACCGUAACCGUUGCUUCGGCGGGCGGCCCCAGGGCGGGGCCAGCCAGCCUCCCCCGGGGAGGCGCCCGCCGGAGGACCCCACAACUCCUGCACCCCGGUGGCCGCUCUGAGCUAUGUACAAACAAGUCA